Molecule: unclassified non-coding RNA, 20 nt
Filed under: Mus musculus (house mouse)
Lineage: Eukaryota; Metazoa; Chordata; Mammalia; Rodentia; Muridae
Description: oocyte_clustered_small_RNA942
Source: RNAcentral
ACCUCAAUCACCUGUGUGCC